GCCCCUGUGGUCCAGCGGAGACGACACCGGCUUCCGAAGCCGGAGACCCGGGUUCGACUCCCGGCGGGGGCG
RNAcentral lists this transfer RNA (72 nucleotides) under Amycolatopsis magusensis. RNAcentral describes it as "tRNA-Arg". It matches the Rfam family "tRNA". Rfam says of the family: Transfer RNA (tRNA) molecules are approximately 80 nucleotides in length. Their secondary structure includes four short double-helical elements and three loops (D, anti-codon, and T loops). The record is from RNAcentral. Lineage: Bacteria; Bacillati; Actinomycetota; Actinomycetes; Pseudonocardiales; Pseudonocardiaceae.